GAUCCUGGCUCAGGAUGAACGCUGGCGGCGUGCCUAACACAUGCAAGUCGAGCGAAGCACUUUGCUUAGAUUCUUCGGAUGAAGAGGAUUGUGACUGAGCGGCGGACGGGUGAGUAACGCGUGGGUAACAUGCCUCAUACAGGGGGAUAACAGUUAGAAAUGACUGCUAAUACCGCAUAAGACCACAGCACCGCAUGGUGCGGGGGUAAGAACUCCGGUGGU
RNAcentral lists this ribosomal RNA (222 nucleotides) under uncultured bacterium. RNAcentral describes it as "partial 16S ribosomal RNA". It matches the Rfam family "Bacterial small subunit ribosomal RNA", at positions 15 to 219 of the family's 1533-position model. The record is from RNAcentral.